GCGACCCCAGGUCAGCGGGGACUACCCGCUGAGUUUAA
Molecule: non-coding RNA, 38 nt
Filed under: Agoseris heterophylla
Lineage: Eukaryota; Viridiplantae; Streptophyta; Magnoliopsida; Asterales; Asteraceae
Also listed under: 11 other names
Source: RNAcentral